Molecule: transfer RNA, 73 nt
Filed under: Pteropus alecto (black flying fox)
Lineage: Eukaryota; Metazoa; Chordata; Mammalia; Chiroptera; Pteropodidae
Rfam family: tRNA
About the family: Transfer RNA (tRNA) molecules are approximately 80 nucleotides in length. Their secondary structure includes four short double-helical elements and three loops (D, anti-codon, and T loops).
Source: Rfam by way of RNAcentral
GGUUCCAUAGUGUAGCGGUUAGCACAUCUGCUUUACAUGCAGAAGGUCCUGGGUUCGCACCCCUUUGGAGACA